GUCCAGUGUGAAGGAGGAUGUCAGCAGACUUCAAAUCACUAACGUGACAUUGGAUCUCCAAGGACUGGACCUGUGCUGCUGGAAGUGUCUGCUGGGGUUAGACUGUCUCUUCCCGUUCUGCCAAAUGUUGGCGUAAGAUGGAAUAAACUUGUUCCCCAUUGCU
Molecule: long non-coding RNA, 163 nt
Organism: Amblyraja radiata (thorny skate)
Lineage: Eukaryota; Metazoa; Chordata; Chondrichthyes; Rajiformes; Rajidae
Exons: 2
Source: RefSeq, a predicted model, not a curated record